AACCUGCGGAGGGAUCAUUACAGAGUUAUCCAACUCCCAAACCCAUGUGAACUUAUCUCUUUGUUGCCUCGGCGCAAGCUACCCGGGACCUCGCGCCCCGGGCGGCCCGCCGGCGGACAAACCAAAACUCUUGUUAUCUUAGUUGAUUAUCUGAGUGUCUUAUUUAAUAAGUCAAAACUUUCAACAACGGAUCUCUUGGUUCUGGCAUCGAUGAAGAACGCAGCGAAAUGCGAUAAGUAAUGUGAAUUGCAGAAUUCAGUGAAUCAUCGAAUCUUUGAACGCACAUUGCGCCCAUUAGUAUUCUAGUGGGCAUGCCUGUUCGAGCGUCAUUUCAACCCCUAAGCACAGCUUAUUGUUGGGAACCUACGGCUUCGUAGUUCCUCAAAGACAUUGGCGGAGUGGCAGUGGUCCUCUGAGCGUAGUAAUCUUUUAUCUCGCUUCUGUUAGGUGCUGCCCCCCCGGCCGUAAAACCCCCAAUUUUUUCUGGUUGACCUCGGAUCAGGUAGGAAUACCCGCUGAACUUAAGCAUAUCAAUAAGCGGAGGA
This 545-nucleotide ribosomal RNA is filed under the name Nigrospora sphaerica. Its description in RNAcentral is "eukaryotic LSU rRNA". The stretch from base 176 to 329 matches the Rfam family "5.8S ribosomal RNA". The record is from RNAcentral. Lineage: Eukaryota; Fungi; Ascomycota; Sordariomycetes; Amphisphaeriales; Apiosporaceae.